AGGACGAACGCUGGCGGCGUGCUUAACACAUGCAAGUGGAGCGACGAACCCUUCGGGGGGCAAAGCCGCGAACGGGUGAGUAACACGUGGGUAACCUGCCCCGAUGACUGGGACAACCCGGGGAAACCCGGGCUAAUACCGGAUGUGGUGUUCACACUCAAGUGUGAUUAUCAAAGGUAGCUUCGGCUUCCGCAUCGGGAGGGGCCCGCGGCCCAUUAGCUUGUUGGUGAGGUAACGGCUCACCAAGGCUGCGAUGGGUAGCUGGUCUGAGAGGACGAUCAGCCACACUGGGACUGAGACACGGCCCAGACUCCUACGGGAGGCAGCAGUGGGGAAUCUUGCGCAAUGGGCGAAAGCCUGACGCAGCAACGCCGCGUGGGGGAUGAAUGCCUUCGGGUUGUAAACCCCUUUCAGCAGGAACGAAUCUGACGGUACCUGCAGAAGAAGGUCCGGCCAACUACGUGCCAGCAGCCGC
RNAcentral lists this ribosomal RNA (475 nucleotides) under uncultured bacterium. RNAcentral's name for it is "SSU rRNA". It matches the Rfam family "Bacterial small subunit ribosomal RNA", at positions 26 to 518 of the family's 1533-position model. The record is from RNAcentral.